This 492-nucleotide ribosomal RNA is filed under the name Bacillus subtilis. Its description in RNAcentral is "bacterial SSU rRNA". It matches the Rfam family "Bacterial small subunit ribosomal RNA", at positions 29 to 508 of the family's 1533-position model. The record is from RNAcentral. Lineage: Bacteria; Bacillati; Bacillota; Bacilli; Caryophanales; Bacillaceae.
AUUGACGCUGGCGGCAGGCCUAACACAUGCAAGUCGAGCGGCAGCGGGAAAGUAGCUUGCUACUUUUGCCGGCGAGCGGCGGACGGGUGAGUAAUGCCUGGGGAUCUGCCCAGUCGAGGGGGAUAACAGUUGGAAACGACUGCUAAUACCGCAUACGCCCUACGGGGGAAAGGAGGGGACCUUCGGGCCUUUCGCGAUUGGAUGAACCCAGGUGGGAUUAGCUAGUUGGUGGGGUAAUGGCUCACCAAGGCGACGAUCCCUAGCUGGUCUGAGAGGAUGAUCAGCCACACUGGAACUGAGACACGGUCCAGACUCCUACGGGAGGCAGCAGUGGGGAAUAUUGCACAAUGGGGGAAACCCUGAUGCAGCCAUGCCGCGUGUGUGAAGAAGGCCUUCGGGUUGUAAAGCACUUUCAGCGAGGAGGAAAGGUUGGCGCCUAAUACGUGUCAACUGUGACGUUACUCGCAGAAGAAGCACCGGCUAACUCCGUGC